Macaca fascicularis (crab-eating macaque) is the source of this 4287-nucleotide long non-coding RNA. NCBI's taxonomy places the organism in Eukaryota, Metazoa, Chordata, Mammalia, Primates, Cercopithecidae. The record is from Ensembl.
GGUUACCUCAUGUGUGGCUUAGGCUGGCGUUUCAGCAGCUUUGAGGCGUGGUCCAUCAGCCAGGUGCAUGCCACAGUGUGGGAGAAAUAAGGCAGGAAGGAGCAUUACAAGGUGGCAUGCCUUGUACCUGGCUAGGAGGUAUAUGAACCACACACAGAGGGAGCUAUGGGGAGAGUUUUCUCUACCAAAUCCUUCUUUCAACAAGGCAACGUUUGGGGUAGAUGGUCUGCAAGUCCGUGUUAAUUGGUCUUUUACUCAUCUCCUCUAUAGAAUAUGUCUCUGGGACUGUAAAUUGAUCAAUCAAUGCAAUCAUCAGUAGUACGUAAGAUUUCCUUCACGAAAUCUCAUGGAGGAAGACCCAUGCAUGCCCAGCAUCAGAGAAUGGAUUUUAUUUGCACACAAACGCAUAAAACCUAUGCAAACAUAUUCAGUUCCAUAACUCGGGAGGCCAACCAAACUUCAAAAGAGGUACCUGUAACUCAAGCCAUGCUGAUUUCAGCAGACACUACAGGCCUUGUGGGAGGCUUGAACGUGUUUACUACAUUGCCUUCCAGUUCUGUGGGUUUAUGAGUCGGUGCAACCUCAGCUAGGAAUGCAGGCUGCUCACGUUGUGUCAAUGUCGUAUGUUUUGAACAGUGAAGUGUAUGUUGUUUGUGAACUGAGUACACAUGCCAACGUGCUACGUUCUUAUUUCCAUUUGCUUUAAGGAAAUGAUUCUCAUAUGCUAAUAUGUCAAACACGGAAGUUGAGGUAUUUAGCACAUCCUAUAUCAAAACUGUUACAAAACUGACAUAAAAUGCUAAAGGGAAAUAAUUGUAUUCCAAACAAUUCCCCUUCUUGUAUCUCUAUAAACCUUUUUAUUUACUUAUUUUUUUUUAAAUUUUUCUGGAGACAGGGUCUCAGUCUUGUCACCCAGGCUGGAGUGCAGUGGCACGAUCAUAGCUCAUUGCAGCCUUGAUCUCCUGGGCUCAAGCAAUUCUCCUGCCUCAGUCUCCCAAGUAGCUGGGACCGCUGGCACGUUUCACCAUGCCCAACUAAUUUUUUUUUAAUUUUUAUUUUUAGUAGAGAUGGGGCCUCACUAUAUUGCCCAGGCUCAUCUAGAAUCCCUGGGCUCAAGCCAUCUUCCCACCUUGGCUCCCCAAAAUGUUGGCAUUACAGGCAUGAGCCAUGCUGCUGAGCCAUACCUCUAUAAACCUUAUUCCACAUAAUUGUGCUUUUGAAACCCAUACCUUACAUAUUUGCUUGCGUUCAUUGCAUUUAUUAAUCAUUUCACAGGCCCCAAAAGAACUUCCUAUAGGUUAGACAAGCAAAAGCCCAAUUAACUUGGGCUUCAAGAUAGUCUCUCCUAAAUGUUCCCUUCUUCAAAGAAAGAAGAAUGUGCUGUGCUUGAGAAUGCACGAACGUUUUCCACCCCUAAAACCAGCAUUAGUGGUCAGAGAUGACUCCAGUACAAAUAGCCUUUUGAAAUGUUUUUGUGGAUUUCACUUUUUGUAUUCACUAGCAAUGCACGCUUCUUUCUGCAAAUGAGAAUCCACAUUUUCAGAUUUUCCAGGGUAGGGAAUUCAUUCACAUAUCUGUGCAAUUGGGAGCCUCCUGCAACAUCGAUGAAAGACGUGUGCAGGCUUGACGCCCUGGCGUUGCAACUGAUAGGGAAACAGAUGGUACUGCGGAAGCCACAUUCUUAGGAAAAUAAAAUUGCUGGAAACAACACAAAAGCCAAGGCGGGGAAAUAUUUGAAAGCGGCCUCUCGGAUAUUGGGGCUUUCUGUUUCAAUAUGGCCUUUGCUCCUCCUAAGAUUAGUUUGUAAUAAAGUCAGAUGGAUGUCCUUGUCUGAACAAACCACACCUAGGAUUUGCAAGCCGCUGACCAUCACCCAGUGGUUGGAGAGGGACAGAUGUAGAGACAGCUGUUUAUGUUAAAGGCAUUAACCACAUUUAUAUGUUGUGUAAUCAUUUUGUCAGGGAUCCAGCCCUGGAGCUCUUUUUCCCAAGGUCUUCAUCUCGGUGUCCUGGCCCACAGAGGUCACUGCAUUGGACACGCCAAAUUACAUCUAUAUUGCAUCAAUUUGGAGAAAAGAACACUCUUGCAAAAAAAUUUUUUUUAAUUUUUCUCUUUAGCAAAUUGCAUUUGUUGAAGUAAUUUCUCCUUUUGUUUUCAUUAUCAUUAGCAACUUUUUAGCCAGAGGGAUCUCAGCAAAACUUGUCAUAUUUUCUCUUGGGCAUAAGGGUGUAAUGGGAUAUUUUCCCAUUCAUCUUGUCUGUUAUUUACUGUUCAAGAAAAUUACCUUUUCUCUGGGAACAAAAGAGGAGUAACACAGUGUGAGCCAGAGGGUUGGACAAGGAUAGGAUUAUACAGGGCUUUGUGAGACUUGGAUAAGUGUUGGCACUUUAUUGUUAUUAUUAUUAUUCUCUUAUUCUAAGUGCAAAAAGAAGAGAUUAUAGAGAGUAAAGGCUUCGAUGGAUGAUAAGUGGAGAAUAGUUUGGAGGAAGUUUAUAAUGAGAGGAACAGGGGGUUCUUCCAGUAGAGCCAGGAAGCUGGGGAUGGAGGCUUAAACUAAAAUGGUCACAGUGGAAAGAAACACAAAUGAAUUCAUACAAUAUACAUAUAUUUUAAGGCAGAAAAGCUAGAACAAGAUGUUGCAUCAGUCCACUGUUUAUUUGCACCACGGAAUUUUUAAAAUUCUGUUAUUUAUUUCCUUUAGGCUUGAACGUUUUAUAAAAACUAUAAGAGAUUUAAUAAGAAAUAUUGGAAAAGGCUGGGCUCGGUGGUUCAUGCCUGUAAUCCCAGCACUUUUGGAGGCUGAGGCGGGUGGGUCACUUGAGGUCAGGAGUUCAAGACCAGCCUGGCCAACAUGGUGAAGCCCGGUCUCUACUAAAAAUACAAAAAUUAGCUGGGCACAGUGGCAUGUGCCUGUAAUUCCAGCUACUCGGGAGGCUGAGGCAGGAGAAUCGCUUGAACCCGGGAAGCAGAGGUUGCAGUGAGCCAAGAUUGCGCCACUGCACUCUAGCAUGGGCAACAGAGCGAGACUCUGUCUCAAAAAAACAGAAAUAUUGGUAAAGCAGAUAGCACUAAGAAAGGUUGGUGCUAAUUCUAGAGCAAAUAAAAUUUGUCUCAUUCUGGAAAUAAAAUGUCUUUUCCAAAUUAAAUUAAGAGACAAAUGUUUAGGGAGUUGUACUGUAUUUUGGGCACAGAAUAAAAAUAAGAAUACAAUUUCCUUAUAUAUAAUAUAAAUAAACAAAUAUAAAAAAUACGAACAAACUUCUAGGUAGGAUGGUAGCAGGAGACUGGGCAUAUAAACCCACAGAUCUCCAAGGAAAACCCAUAUCAUUAGGCAAAAUACCACAGUAUUACCCAAACUUCACAGAAUUUAUCACAUUCAGAAUUUGGCAGAAGGAAAAUGAAGGGUUAUGGAGAAGUAAUCGGCAAACCACCUUUCCCCAACCCUAAAGAGCAGUAAACCAGUGCUACGGUCUGAAAGUUUGUGUUACCCCCAAAUUCAGAUGUUGAAAUCCUAAUUCCCAAGGAGAUGGUGUUAUGAGGUGGGGCCUUUGGGAGGUGAUGAGAUUCUGAGGGUGGAGCCUCAUGAACAGGAUGAGUACCCUUAGAAAAGGGACCCCAGAGGGCUCCGACGUCCUUUCCACCAUGGAAGGACACAACAAAAAGGCACCAUCUCUGAAGCAGAGAACCUUGAUCAGAUACCAAAUCUUCUGGCACCUUAAUCUUGAACUUUCAGCCUCCAGAAGUGUGAGCAAUAAAUUUCAACUGUUUAUACAUUUUCCAGUCUAAGGAAAUUUAUAAUUGCAGUCCAAAUGGACCAAGAAAGCCAGGGGGAAAAAAAAGAGAGUAGAAAAGAAACAUAAAAUGGAUUCUCAUUAAUGCCCAAGGAGUUGCAAUGAAGGAUUGACCAUGCGAUGAAUACUCACAACCGGAAGGCUAGAAAAAGAACAGUGGGCUGGGUGCGCUGGCUCACGCCUGUAAUCCCAACACUUUGGUAGGGUAAGGAGGGCAGGUCACUUGAGGUCAGGAGUUCAAGACCAGCCUGGCCAACAUGAUGAAACCCCAUCUCUACUAAAAUUACAAAAAUUAGCCGGGCGCAGUGGCACGUGCCUGUAAUCCCAGCUACUCUGGAGGCUGAGACAAGAGAAUUGCUUGAACCAGGGAGGCAGAGGCUGCAGUAAGCCAAGACUGCACCAGUUCACUCCAGCCUGCAUGAUAGAGUGACACCCACCCCAUAAAAAAAGAAAGAAAGGCCUGGCAGUGGCUCACACCUGUAAUCCCAGCACUUUG